Molecule: unclassified non-coding RNA, 391 nt
Filed under: soil metagenome
Description: partial contains 5.8S ribosomal RNA, internal transcribed spacer 2, and large subunit ribosomal RNA
Rfam family: 5.8S ribosomal RNA (bases 1-122)
Source: RNAcentral
GAUGAAGAACGCAGCAAAAUGCGAUACUUGGUGUGAAUUGCAGAAUCCCGUGAACCAUCGAGUUUUUGAACGCAAGUUGCGCCCGAAGCCAUUAGGCCGAGGGCACGCCUGCCUGGGCGUCACACGUCGUUGCCCCCCCAUCUACUCCUUCGGGAUUGCGGGGGGCGGAUGAUGGCCUCCCGUGCGCCUCGUCGCGCGGUUGGCAUAAAUGCCAAGUCCUCGGCGACACACGCCACGACAAUCGGUGGUUGCGAAACCUCGGUUGCCCGUCGUGUGCGGUCGUCGCGCAUCGAGGGCUCGAAAAAAUUGCCGGGCUCCGGCUCGGCUUUCAACGCGACCCCAGGUCAGGCGGGGUUACCCGCUGAAUUUAAGCAUAUCAAUAAGCGGAGGA